Molecule: long non-coding RNA, 1013 nt
Filed under: Felis catus (domestic cat)
Lineage: Eukaryota; Metazoa; Chordata; Mammalia; Carnivora; Felidae
Description: lncRNA (ENSFCAG00000044035.2)
Source: RNAcentral
GAACAGAUCGUAACUGUGGUUUUUCUACUCUCCAGAUGCAAACAACUGCUGCCAACAGAAAAUAUCCCAACCUCACCGAAAUGGUGAGGGGGCCUCAACAUAUUCUUCUUUAUAUUUGCUUCCUGAUCAUCAAAAUAUGGUUCAUUCGUCAGUUUCAAGGGCCAUAUGAAUCUACACAUGAUGAAACUUUAGGUGCUUCUUAACCCUGGAAGUGACCCGCAAGGCUCUUGAUUGCGCCUACCCCAAAGCCUCACAUGCGUCUGCCCCUUCGCAUUCCUUUGGUUAAACCAGUCAAGUGUUCGAUCAAAACCAGCCCGCGAGGAAGUUGUUCAAGAGUUAAGUAUCGAUGCCAGAGGUAGAAAAAGUAAUGAAGACAUUUUGGUUGUAAAAAGGCAUUUGGCUUUCUGCCAUUGGCCAAUUUCUCCCUUCAGCAGUGACCACUGAGCCUUCCUUAUUUCUCUUCCAUUGUUUUUCUACUUUUUUCAGGAAUCAUGUCACUUCUGACAAAAAGAACUCAAAAUGGUCUGCAAGGUUUUCAUUAGGCCCUGAGGAUACAGCUGUUGGUGCGUAACUCAAUUCCCACACCCCCAAUCCUGGCCCAUCAAGGGGAGAUGCAAAGCGUUGUGCUAUAGGUUUGUACCAGCAGGUGAGAAAGAGUACAUUUUAGAAAGGCUUCAUCAUGAAGUAUCCAAAACUAAGGUAAAGUCCCCAAAUCUUAAACUCUUCAGAAAACGCAAAUGCAAAGAUCUGAGAUUUGGGGUUCUGAAGGAUUUUGUGACCACCACAUGUUGCUCUAUUUGACAGAUAAGAAUAUUGUCAACUGAAAGGGCGAGGAUCAUUAGUUCUCUGAGAUUUUUAAGAGAUUAAAAUGAGAAAGAGGAAGCAUUAAUUGGUGCCAUUUUAAAAAGUAACCUUUUGUCUGCACAGAUCUUCUUAUAUAAGCCAAUUUCUAGCUAUUGUAUAAAUAUUAAUGCCAUGGAUCUAUUCAGGAAAAUAACCAUGCUAAGUUACAG